This is a long non-coding RNA of Puntigrus tetrazona (Sumatra barb), 3736 nucleotides long. RefSeq lists it as uncharacterized. NCBI's taxonomy places the organism in Eukaryota, Metazoa, Chordata, Actinopteri, Cypriniformes, Cyprinidae. The record is from RefSeq and is a predicted model, not a curated record. The transcript is spliced from 3 exons.
AUAUUUAAAACCAAUUAAUACAUUUUUUGCUGGAUUUUAGGGAUGAUUAAAAGAUCAUUAAAGAAGAAAUAAGCAGCGCUGGAGGCUUCAGAUGAGCCUCUAACGAACAACCAGCAUAAAUAAUUAAAUACCUAAAUUUGUUAAAUACUUUUUAUUUUAAGUCUGUUGUUGCAAUGAGAAUAAUAGAGAGAGGAAUAAUACAUCAAUUAGAGUUUGGGUGCAAAAUAUUGUGUGGCCAUCAAAAUAUUCUGUGUGUAUUUAUUUAUUUAAAGUCGAUGCUAAAUAUAUAUUUUUAUCCUGAUAUAACCAGCCCUCGAGGCCAUUGAAGAGGACUCCGUAAACACACACAGUGUUAAAAGAUUCAAGCCACAAAUCUCCUGACUCCAAUCAGCGCUGAUGAAAACAGAGCGGCACGGAGCGGAUCAGAGCGGCGGAAGCAGGCCACGAGUCUAUCGACGGACUCUAAUGGAUGAUCGAUAGCAGGAACACACAGCCAGAGCCAUGCUCCCGAUAUGCAGAUAUAUUCAAAUCACGGCCUGCCCUUAAAAAAACCACUCAUCUAGUCUGGAACACACUGAUCGGCUUUGUCUUGCUCGGGUGAAACGAUGCAUUUUUACUAAAACAGCCCGUUCAACUUUGACAUGCAGGCUGGGACUUUAAAACGAAAGUGAAUUUUUAUCGACUGGACGGGAGCUGAUUUGCUCUGGUUUUGACCGAGCGGAGGGAAGUUGUGCAACACGUUCGAAUUUGACAAAGAUUUCUCUGUUACAAACCCCAGAGAGACCCGGAUGACGUGAUGGAGUUAGUUAAAACCAUAUUAAACGGCACCGACGAGGAAAACAGAAAAACCUUCUGCCAGGAACAAACAUAAAUAAGCCUUUCAGUCCACGCAAACAAGCUGGGAUUUGGACCGAAACGUUGCAUAAUCAUGCUAAAUAUUAUUUUACAGCACUCGCAGAUGCUGUAGCUGUGAAUGAAAAUCGAUGCAUGCAUGGGCCGUUAAUGCAGCCGACCUUGACAUGACUAACUGAUCCAAAGACUCGGCAUCAUGAAAGUGGAAAACACUGUAGAAGCGCUUCACGGUGGCUGAGGAAAUAACACAGACGCAGGAAAAAAAAAGGUGAAGCCGAGAUGUUAGCGGUUACACAAUCGCUGGCCGUGUUCCUGAAGCGUCUCUCUCUCAUGGCCUGCUUUUUCUCCACUUCAAAAACAGCUCCGGUGCGGACUGAUAAACAGCUCAAACACUCGGAGAAACUCAGCUCUUUCCUCUCUUUCCUCGCUCCCCGUUGAACACGACGAAGUGAAACACAGUUUUCCUUCUCUAUGCAUCUCGAUCUAAAGCAUCUUCGGGGGACCGGAAAACGAGACCGAAAUGCCGAAGGUGGAAAUCGCGUUUGAUCGAGUCGACUAACAAGCUCCAGCAAAUCGACCGGCUCGAGAACGGAGCUGAAGAAAGAGAAAAUACGGUGAUUAAACGUCAGACGACAGGUGGAGGCGAAGGAUUGUGUGGGAAGCCAGACAAUGAUCCAGCAAGAGCUCAUGUUUACGGGAUUACACCGAUAUGAGCAGGGUGCGUAUCGUUUUUACACUGAUUACAGACAUAAUCAGAAGAUUAAUACUGGAGCUCACCCUCGUUUUACCAGCUCUGCAUCUCAAUAAUGAAUACCUUUUUUGCUUUUUAUCAUCGUCGCAUGCAUCUGAAGUUGUGCAUUUUCGCCCAUUCUAAUAGUAAACCAAGCCUGACGAUAAAUCUUCCCAAUAAACCGAGCAGCAGAAUGGCACGUGAUAUGGAAGGAAAGCCUACGGUUUCGAUUCGUUCUCAAAACAGCUACAAUUUGCCGACUUUCUCGGGAAACGAGUUUCUGAUUCAGACGAGAACCAAUCAAAACGAUAGGCUUUUCCCUUUUAGUUGUGUUUUUUUCACCCACUGGGGUCGAAGCGUUCGUUUAACCGUUUGUUCGUUUCUCUGGAAACGGCUAAAUGCUCGCUGACCGAAGAAGGUUUACCGAAAAACACACAAAAUAGAUGCAGAAGAAAGACAUUUAGCAGACCUCCGGUGCCACGUGUGUCUAGAAAUCACCAGCUUGAGUUUCAGUUUGUAGAGCAGGACGCGUUUGGAGGUUGGCCGGUAUUUUUAGGCGUUGUGAUAAAGGACACCGGGAUAUGUUACGUGCGCGCUAUUCUCGGGCCAGCAGUUGUACGUCGGUGUGGAUUACGUUCCUCAAGACUUCGGGGCAAUGAUCGGAAAACACGCCAAAACAGAGCUCGGCGGGUGGCUUUUCCAGCGCUCAAGAAAGCAAUCCGUACACUGGAUGUCCCAAAAAAAAAGAAGACGCACAGCCGACCCAGAGCUGAGGACGGUGUGGUGUGACGUUUCUGGUGGGCGCGUGUUAGCUGAGGGCUAUUUCAAGAGGUCGGCCAUGUUGGGUCGAGACGCCCUGAGAGACCUCUUCAGAAAAAACACCAGCUCCAGAUAAACCAACCAAUGCAUUAAAACAAUCGACUAAACCGACGAAUGUAGAGGAAUAAAUAAAUCUUUAGAAACGACUAAAUUAGGGACAAAAUUAAAACCAACCCCCACCCCGCGAAAAAAAAAGCUUUCGUUUCAAAGCAAUAAAAAGGGCUUACCGAACUUCGACUUAAACAAGUGCAAUAAAAAGCAAGCCUUUAAUGAGUUGUAAAGAGCGCUUUCCCUGCUGCUCAGAGACUGGAUCGCUGUUAGAGGUCGCGCUCGUUUUAAUGAACCUCUGAGAGACCACUGACUUCACUCACGACUUCAAUCCUUCAGAUCUGGUUCGCAUAUGACACGAAGUAACAUUAAUAAAUACAUAUAUUAGCGCGUUAUUGUUUCACUUUUCACGCACAGAGAAAAAGAGAGCAUGACUGAACUGGUAGCACAAACACAUCCUGAAAUGAGAAAGCAUUAAUAAUAACUACAAUCUCCUCCCAUCAGCAGCGGCGGAUCUGGGCGGUGUGUGUGUGUGUGUGUGUGUGUGUGUGUGUGUGUGUUUAUCCGUUUGCUCUUGGCUUUGUUUCGGUGUUUGUUCAUCUACAAAGUUUCGAUGACAAAAGAAAAGAUAAUGAUCCGCAGGAGCCUCCAUGGAGACGCAGAGAGAUGCCAAAGCUUUCUCUCAGGACUGUUUCACUCGUGUUUCCCAGAGACGUGAUCAUCCAUCAGUCCAGCUGGAGAAGAGCAGCCAAACCUCCCAGGGAUUCAUCCAUCUAUCUAUCCAUCCAUCUAUCUCGCAAUUCUGUAAUAUUUCAUUCCCCCGUAAUUGUUACAAGCUUUUUAACAACACUUUGCCCAUUGGAGAGUCCAUUAUAAUAUAUAAAAAUGAUAACAUUUUAGUAUUAUUUAGCAUAAAGUAAGGUUUAUUAUCCAUCUUAAACCAAGCAUUUUGUCAUGUCCCCGAGGCACUUAAACGAUUAUUAACAAAAGUUCUGUUCCUUAGAUUUCUUCGGCAGCAAUACAGUUUAAUUCUUUAUUUGUGUGUGCCUUUUUUAAAAAUAAUUAAAAUAUAUUUUAUUAAAAACACUUCACCUACAGUAUAAUAAUUUAGACUCAUAAAUGGCAUCGUUCAGGUCUCUUCAAUAGUGGCGCUGAAAAUGCUGAGUGGUAUUUUCGAGGUGUAUCUCAGGUAGGGUGCUGUCAAACUUUACAACCCCAUCACAGAUAUAUGCAUUUCUUACUGGGUUGUGACGGGGUUGAGUUAUUUACCUAAUCUAUUAAUAAAAA